This 506-nucleotide ribosomal RNA is filed under the name uncultured bacterium. RNAcentral's name for it is "partial 16S ribosomal RNA". It matches the Rfam family "Bacterial small subunit ribosomal RNA", at positions 30 to 523 of the family's 1533-position model. The record is from RNAcentral.
AUUGAACGCUGGCGGCAGGCCUAACACAUGCAAGUCGAACGGCAGCACAGAAGAGCUUGCUCUUUGGGUGGCGAGUGGCGGACGGGUGAGUAAUGUCUGGGAAACUGCCCGAUGGAGGGGGAUAACUACUGGAAACGGUAGCUAAUACCGCAUAACGUCGCAAGACCAAAGUGGGGGACCUUCGGGCCUCACACCAUCGGAUGUGCCCAGAUGGGAUUAGCUAGUAGGUGGGGUAAUGGCUCACCUAGGCGACGAUCCCUAGCUGGUCUGAGAGGAUGACCAGCCACACUGGAACUGAGACACGGUCCAGACUCCUACGGGAGGCAGCAGUGGGGAAUAUUGCACAAUGGGCGCAAGCCUGAUGCAGCCAUGCCGCGCGUAUGAAGAAGGCCUUCGGGUUGUAAAGUACUUUCAGCGGGGAGGAAGGCGGUGAGGUUAAUAACCUUGCCGAUUGACGUUACCCGCAGAAGAAGCACCGGCUAACUCCGUGCCAGCCGCCGCGGUAA